RNAcentral lists this unclassified non-coding RNA (697 nucleotides) under Hevea brasiliensis (rubber tree). Lineage: Eukaryota; Viridiplantae; Streptophyta; Magnoliopsida; Malpighiales; Euphorbiaceae. The record is from RNAcentral.
GGGAUGAAGAGAUUUGCGUUGCUUCUUUGCGCAGAAGAUUCCGAAUACGUUAAAAUCAAGUACGGAGGAUAUUUCGGAGUGUUCGUCAGAAUGUUGGGCGAAGAAGGCGAGGCCUGGGAUCGUUUCCGUGUGGCUGCCGGCGAGUUUCCGCCCGACGAUCAGAUCGACGACUACGACGGAUUUGUGAUCUCCGGUAGCUGCAACGACGCUCACGGCGACGAUCCUUGGAUCUGCCGAUUGAUCGCUUUGUUGCAAAGAUUGGCGUCCUUGAACAAGCGAAUCCUCGGUAUUUGCUUCGGCCAUCAGAUACUGGGACGUGCUUUGGGGGGAAAGACAGGCAGAGGUAGAUCUGGAUGGGACAUCGGGAUAACAACCGUACACGUGUCCUCAUCUUACAAGCUCUUCUCGUCCCUCAAAAUACCCACCGCUCUCUCUGUGAUCGAAUGCCAUCGUGACGAGAUCUACGAACUUCCUUCCAAGGCCGAAGUGAUUGGACGGUCACAUAAGUAUGGCAUAGAGAUGUUUAAAUAUGGGGAUCAUAUCCUAGGCAUUCAAGGUCACCCCGAGUACACCAAAGACAUUCUCCUACACCUCAUCGACCGUCUUGUCCUACGAAAUCUCAUCACGGAUGAGUUUGCUGAGGAGAUGAGGAGCAAUUUGGAAGAAGGAGAGGCAGAUAGGGAAGCAUGGAAGAGGC